This 186-nucleotide unclassified non-coding RNA is filed under the name soil metagenome. RNAcentral's name for it is "partial internal transcribed spacer 1". The record is from RNAcentral.
CAGAGUUGCAAACUCCCACAAACCAUCGCGAAUCUUACCCGUACGGUUGCCUCGGCGCUGGCGGUCCGGAAGGCCCUCGGGCCCCCGGAUCCUCGGGUCUCCCGCUCGCGGGAGGCUGCCCGCCGGAGUGCCGAAACUAAACUCUUGAUAUCUUAUGUCUCUCUGAGUACACUUUUAAAUAAGUCA